CAGGCACUAACUGACACGAAAUUAGAGAGCUGUUCGUGUAGAUGGAGGACCAGGUAACAUGCAAAAGCCAAAUCUUAGUAUGCAUAGGAUUCUUAAUAAAGCUAAAUAAAUGUAGUCAUCGCAUUGAAAAUGCAGAGAAGAGCAAACCUGGAAAGUUUCUGAUGAGCUGGUAAGUGGAAAUUAAUUGUAUAAAACUUGUAAUUACAAACUAGAUGUGUAACAUUUCCUAGAUAUGCUUCUUUGGUAUGUGGCCUCUAUUAUCAUUGUGAUAUUUUUCCUGUAAGAUCUCAAGUUUCUUAAUCUUAAAAUCUACCAAGCUGUCAGGUUGGGGAGGGAGCGCUAACAGUAGUGCCUACCUGCCCUGUGGGUACUGGCAUCUGUGUGCACAGAAAGCUCAUGGGCCAGCACAAGGAGGCUCCAUCUAGAGACCCAGGCAUGUGGCACAGACGGUGCAUGCCCUUACGGAGGUCUGAGCUCUGUGCUCGGAAACCAUGAACUCUGCUUGGGGAGCUGAGGUAGGGAGGGUUGAAGGGAGAUGGCAUAGAGCAAGAGUCCUAAAGGAAGAAGAGAGAGAAGGACAUUUCUGAUAGAGCAUACAACACAGGCAAAGGCCUCAGGGUGUGAGAGGCCAUGGCUUGCCUGAGAUCGAGGGCGCAAGGCAGGGCGGGGGAUGGGAAAAGUGUUGGGGCCACACUCUGAUAGCUCAACCAGAACACACUGUCUCUUGCCUCUAGGCAACAGGAGCCUUGGGAGGAUGCUGCAUAUUGUGGGGGUGGGGGGGGUGGGGGGUGGGUUUAGACCCGAUUUGGGAAAAUAACUGGCAGAGGGGCAAUGUGUGUUGGAGGGGAGAGAGCUUUGCAGCUCCUGGGAGAACACGAGGAGCGCCAGAGCUGGGCAGUGACUGUCGAAGGAGGGCGGAGUCCAGAGGUGCUUGGUGGUAGAAAGUCAGCGAAGUGAGGAUGAGAUUUGGAGGUGACAGGGAGGGAGGGGCUGGAGAUUUAUGACUUGGCGCAAUUAGGUGGACGGGGCUGUCACUGAGUCAGGGAAGGCAGAGGAAGAACAGGUUUGGGGUGGAGGCAUGGAGGAGGGGUGGUGAGGAUAUAUGCUAGUUGUAAAUGAUCUAGUUUUCUUCUGAGCAGCUUUUGGGCUCCUUAGAUUCCAAACUGACAUCACCAGGGGUUGAGUCUUGGUGAGGCAGCACGGUAGGCUGGCCAAGCCCACAGACUUCAGCCAACAGCCUGGAAUCAGAGCCCGGCUCCAUGCUUACCAACACGGCCCUGGGGAUGUAAUUGAACCUCUGUGUGUCUCCAGGUCGUCCUUUGUACAAUAUUACAGGACCGUAGGGCUGCUAAAAGUAUGGAUAAAAGAGUCCAUACAUGUGAAAUGCCUGGCCCACUCUAAGCACUAUAUAAAUAUUUGAUAUGGCCACAGGAAUGCCAGGGGCGAAACUUAGGCCCAUUUCCUCCUUCUGUCUUCAAAUAACUUCAGUUUGACUCAAAACCAACAUUUGUAGGCAGACAACUGAGCCCAUUCACAGAAUGGUGAAAUCACUGAAUAGUGAAAACAGUACAGCAGUAGCUGAUCAGAAAGUGGGAAGCUUUUUGUAAUUUUCCCCUUUCUCAUCACUACUUUCAUCAAAGCAUUUACUGAACAUCUGUUGGAUUUAGGGUUCUGUAGGAGCCAUGUCUCACGAAAGCCUGUCUAGUUAGUAAACCAGGACACACAUAAGCAGGCUAUGAUAAUGUCAAAAAUAGGCUGUGCUGUAGGUGCGGAGGAAUUGAAGAAAGUGAGUGGAGACAGAAUGAUCUGAGGGGUGCAGGAUCCUGGGUCCCUACCCUUCCUGGGCAGCAGUGGGAGAUGGGAGGGCGUGAUAGAGCUGGGUUCUAAGAGGCCAUUCCACAGCUCUGACCCUUGGGCUGUGGUGAGGAGGGGCAGGCGAAACCAACAUUACUGACUUUACUACCUGAUUCCCAUUCCACAUGAGGGCCGUGGGCUGCACUUAGCACGGGGCAAUUGCAACAAAACAAAACAACAAAAAACAAAACCAGUUUUAGAGCGGAAGAGCUGACCCUGUGAACUGCUGUGGCAGGAUGGACAGUGGAGGGGGAAGAGGCACAGAGCCCACCUCCCUACCCCCGGGGGCUCUGGGGCCGGAGCAGGUGACCGCUUGGGACCAGAGGAGCCUUUCCAGGGAGAUUUUUAUUCUGGUGUCAGUUGCUAAGGAGAGAAAGGUGGCUUUGUGCCAAUGGAGGGAAAAAGAAAGAUAACAAGGAACUAGACACUGUGGGUGAACUCCUGGCCUCCUGCUGCGAGGCGCCUGAGGACCCUGGGCUCUCCCUCCUCGGUUUGGGCUUCAGAGGACCCUGGGCUCUCCCUCCUCGGUUUGGGCUUCAGAAGGUGGCUCCACUUCUGGGUGGCAGUGACAGGCAGACCUGCUGAGAGCCCAGAGAGAAAUACUACCCUGCAGGGAGAUAAGGUCAUCAACCUGCCACCACUGGUAUAUUCCCAUAAUAAUGUCCACUGGUCCCAGUCGAGAGGCACCCACUCCUUUUCCUCUUGUCUAACACAGGAGUCUCGAGCUGCCUAAAGAAACCCAUUUUUGGGAAGAGGAUUAAAAACAAACAAACAAACAACAAAACUGUGCUCCAAAUGUAUAUAACCCUGUAGAUUAAUGAAACAUUUGGGCCAAAGUUCUGUAUUCUCAUAGGCAAAGACUCUCAUAGUAUUAAUAUAUUCACUGAUUUUAAAUUAUUUUUAACUUAAAGGUUUUGUUUUAAUCUGCUGUGAUGAAAUCUUGGAUCACUAUAGCUGUAAAUGAGUAGAUUUAUCUAGAUAUGUUAAAUGAACAAAUGUAAAAUGUUCGAUACAGCACAGGUGCUUAAUAAGUUGGCUUCAGAGCCGUGUUUUUCCAACAUGUUCUGAUGAUCCAAGUUUGAUACUUAAGACAAUUAAAAACAAGAAAUUUAACUUAGUUUCAGCACAUGUAUGGUAUAUAUAUUUGUAUGGCUAUGAGCUUAGGCUGGUCGUAGACAUAAGACAAUUGAAGCACUCUUUUCCACAGGUAUCGGCCGCAUUCUGUUUCACUCCCUAUAAGCAUUUGAUUUUGCACUACAGGUAUUACUGAGACCAUGUGGAAUCUCACUUAGUUUUAUUUCCCUUUAGGGUAGUUGCCUAAAUCAUAAAAUUAUGCUUCACUGUAGUGGUAGGAAAUCUAAUUUAUUUAUUUAUAAGAUGGAGUCUCAUUCUGUUGCCCAGGCUAGAGUGCAGUGGCAUGAUCUCAGCUCACUGCAACCUCUGCCUCCUGGGUUCAAGCGAUUCUCCUGCCUCAGCCUCUCAAGUAGCUGGGAUUACAGGCACCUGCCACAAACUCUCAGCAAAUUUUUGUAUUUUUAGUAGAGACAGGGUUUCACUAUGUUGGCCAGGCUGAUCUUCAACUCCUGACCUCAAGUGAUGCACCCACCUUGGCCUCCCAAAGUGCUGGGAUAACAGGCAUGAGCCACCCUGUGCCCACACCUGGCCAAGAAAUAAUCUAAUUUUUUUAAAAAGACAUAAAAUGUGUUCAUGAAAGAGAUUCCACCCAAAUCAACACAUAAAUCACUCUAGUGGCAAAGUAGUUUAUUUAUUAUGUUUCCUUAAAGGAGAUUAAGACUCGACUCCUCUCCCAGCCGGGGCAGCCCGGGAACUCAGCGCCCCCCUCCAGUGGUGCCCAGAGCCUCCCAGCGCCAUGUCCAUCUCUCUUCCUCUUGGCAUCCAUUGUGGCACUCAGCCCACCUCUGCCUCAUUUCAUGAUUGUGUGCUUUUGUAGUUUAGAAACAGCUGCGGCAAGCAUUUAGGUAAAGGCCUCAAGCAGACAACCUACAGGGUGCUCCGUGUCAGUGCAGGUGCCUGGGCAGAGAAGCUGCGGCACAGCUGCAGAGGAGCCGUUAGGAGGGGGUCACGGGCUGCAAGUUCCACAGUGGGGCCCUGUUGUCCCAGCCAGCAGAAGCACCAGUGACUGUCCCACCCUGGAGCCUGGAGCGAACCAGAGGACUUGUUAAAACAGAUUGUUGGACCCACACUGUGUUUCUGGAUUGGGAGUCAGGAGUAGGCCUGAGAAUGUGCAUUUCUAAUGAGUGCCCAGGUAAUGCUGAUGUCACUGGUCCAGGGACCACACUUUGAGAACCAAUGUGAUAAUCAAGAAAUGUCUUUUGAAUCAAAUUUACUAAAAUAUUCAUAAACCUUUCUCCACCCGAAGGAUGCAAACGAAAGGGAGACACAGAGACUGUCAAAGCUAUAGGCAGUCUGCAGGUGAUGAUUUUAUUUUUUUAAAUGUGGUUUGGAAUCUGGAGUCUGAGACCUGGACCCAAAUCUCACCACAGCUUUGUGCUGGCUGAGCACCCUGGGAAGGAAGGUAACUUCACAGCGGAACCCCUAGCCCCACACCUAUUAUCUAAAGACGAUUGCAUGGCCCCCAGAACAGUGGGGACUGAAUUUCGUAUGGCAGGACCUCAUCUGAAUAUACAGUAGGUGCUCAAUACGUGCUAUUACCCUCUUCCCUUUUUGGCAGUAGACAGAUAAGCUUUUUCUAUGACUGAUACCAUUUUUAGAUGUGAAAACACUGACUCCUAGAGAGUAACAUUUCAUCACUAGCCUUCAAUGGUAAUUCAUACAAUUGGAAAUGCAUGGAAAGCCAUAUUUUUCACUUCCUUCUCCUCUCUUGUUAAUCUUAUCUCAUAUUCAUGGGUGGCCCAAAACUUUUCAUAGCUUUGAGCGCUCUGUCCCAAUAUUUUUAAGUACAUGGAACUUGUUAGCAACUUUGAUUUUUUUAUUCAAAGGAAGUGCCAUAACACUUCAAAUCAUGUCAAUUCCAUGACACUCAUCUUCAAAAAAGAUCUUUCAGUUCAAAUCUUAGAAAGCAAGUUUUUAAAUUAUAAAAGAUAUGCUUCUUAUAUUCUCCAAAUCCUGCUCCUGAACAGGGAUAUUGUUUCAAUAGUUUGUUCCUUUUUCACAGCUGAGCAGUGUUUCAUUGUAUGGAUAUCCACCAUGUGUUUAUCCAUUCACCUGCUGAUGGCUGUUUGGGUUGUUUUCCCUUUUUUUUGCUAUUCCAAAUAAAGUUGCUAUGAAUAUUUGUAUACAAGUCUUUGUGUGGAAACAUGCUUUUAUUUUUCUUGGGUAGACACCUAGUAGUGGAAUGGCUGGGUCACAUGGUAGGUCUAAUUUUCACUUUUAAGAAACUACCAAACCAGGCUGGGCGCAGUGGCUCACAUCUGUAAUUCCAGCACUUUGGGAGACAGAGGUGGGAGGAUCACCUGAGGUCACGAGUUCAAGACCAUCCUGAGCAGCAUAGCAAGACCCCAUCAUCUUUACAAAAAAAUAAAAUGUCUAUUGAAUCAAAUUUACUUAAUAUUCACAAACUUUUCUCCACCGGAAGGAUGUGAAGAAGGGGAGACAGAGACUGUUAAAGCUAUAGGCAGUCUGCAGGUGAUUUUUUUUUUUUUAAUGUGGUUUGGAAUCUGGAGUCGGAGACUUGGGCCCAAAUCUCACCACAGCUUUGUGCUGGCUGAGCAUCCUGUAUAUAAUUUAAAUCAAUGUGUAAGUCUCAUUAUAAAAAGUUACAAAAAUUAGGCUGGGCACGGUGGCUCACGCCUGUAAUCCCAGCACUUUAGGAGGCCAAGGCGGGUGGAUCACGAGGUCAGAUCGAGACCAUCCUGGCUAACACGGUGAAACCCCAUCUCUACUAAAAAUUCAAAAAUUAGCUGGCGUGGUGGUGGGCGCCUGUAGUCCCAGCUACUCAGGAGGCUGAGGCAGGAGAAUGGCAUGAAGCCGGGAGGCGGGGCUUGCAGUGAGCCGAGAUCGUGCCACUGCACUCCAGCCUGGGCGACAGAGUGAGACUCUGUCUCAAAAAAAAAAAAAAAGUUGCAAAAAUUAAAAAAUAUUAAAAGUUGUAGUCAGCCAGGCGUGGUGGCUCAUACCUGUAAUCCCAGCACUUUGGGAGGCUGAGGUGGGAGGAUCACUUGAGCCGAGAAUUUCAAGACUAGCCUAGGCAACAUACUGAGACCUCUGUCUCUACAAAAAAUAAAAAAUUUAGCUGGAUAUGAUGGCACAUGCCUGUGGUCUCAGCUAGUCAGGCUCAGGAGGAGCAUUUGAGCCAGGGAGUCAAAGCUGCAGUGAGCCAAGGUCACACCACUGUACUCCAGCCUGGGUGACACAGCAAGACCCUGUCUCAAAAAAAAAAAAAAAAAAAAAAAAAAAAAGAAAAGAAAAAAGAAAACCUUACAAUAAGUGAAACAGGUAGAGAGUAACAAAAUACAUUCAAUUCAAAAUGAACUCUCUAACCACUGCUCACAUCCCCACUACGGUGUACUCAUCAGAGUAGUCAGUGAUACUUUUAUGAUAUACGUUGGAUCACAUCAUUCUUUUGUUUAAAAAUUUCCAGUGGCUUCCUGUGACAUUUGAGAAAAAAGCCAACCGUGGUAAGGUCAUCCUUACCGUGACCUCAGAGCAACCUCUACCAUCCCACCUGCCCAUCUGCUCUCCCUCUCCCCUUUAUCCACAGUGCUCCAGCCACUCUGGACACCCUGCCAGUCCUUGACUGCAUCCAGCAUGCCCCUGCUCAGAACCUCUGCACAUCUUUCCUCUGCCUGGGCUGAUCUCCCCCUGGAUGGCUGCAUGGCUGCUCGUGCUACUGUGUUCCAGGCAAGUUGGUCUCUGCUCUAAUGCCACUGCCCCAGAGGAUCCUCCCUCAGCCGCCCUUUAAAAAAUGGCCUACCUUAUCAUUUAUCUUUUCUUGCUUUUUCUUCAUUGUACUUAAUUCCCUCAAAAAUAAUAUAUAUUUUUACUAUCAGCUUUCACCUAGUUGGAACCUAUGAUCUUUAAAGGUGGGGGUCUUGUUCAGUGCUGUAUCCCCAGUGCUUAGAACAUGCCUGAACACAGGAGUUGCUAUCUGUUGCAUGCAUAAAUGAACUCAGAACAAGAAUGCCUGAUUUUCCAAUGUCCAUACCAGGUUUUACACAUCUUUAUAAUCUUUGCCAAUCCAGUAUGUGGGAAACAGUAUUCAUUUCAAUUUGUAUUUCUUGAGUAUAAGUGAGGUCGAGUAUCCUAUGAUGUUUUUUGGCUUGGCCUUCAGAAAACUAAUUUUUCUUUUCUUUUUUUUUUUUUUGAGACAGAGUCUUGCACUGUCACCCAGGCUGCAGUGCAGUGGCGCAAUCUCGGCUCACUGCAAGCUCCGCCUCCUAGGUUAACGCCAUUCUCCUGCCUCAGCCUCCUGAGUAGCUGGGACUACAGGCGCCCGCCACC
Molecule: long non-coding RNA, 7275 nt
Filed under: Homo sapiens (human)
Lineage: Eukaryota; Metazoa; Chordata; Mammalia; Primates; Hominidae
Description: HSALNT0027192
Source: RNAcentral